Molecule: long non-coding RNA, 227 nt
Filed under: Mytilus galloprovincialis (Mediterranean mussel)
Lineage: Eukaryota; Metazoa; Mollusca; Bivalvia; Mytilida; Mytilidae
Source: RNAcentral
AUUAAAUUGUAUAUUUAUAUCAAUUAUUGAAAUGGUAAUGAAUAAUCAAACAAUUAUCUAUUUAUUGUUAAUAUUGAUCAUGUUGAUAACGACUUAUUUGAACUCAGUUUUAGCUCACCAGUGCAUGUGAGCUUAUGCCAUCAUUUGGUGUCUGUCAUUGUCUGUUAUCUGUUGUCUGUUUCAAAAACUAUUUAAACAAGAAUGUGUCCAAAGUACACGGAUGCCCC